UACGAAGGGGGCUAGCGUUGUUCGGAAUCAUUGGGCGUAAAGGGCGCGUAGGUGGUUUUGUGUGUCUAUCGUGAAAGCCCACGGCUCAACCGUGGUGUGUCGGGAGAAACUGCAGGACUUGAGGCUGGGAGGGGCUGGUGGAAUUCCCUGUGUAGCGGUGAAAUGCGUAGAGAUGGGGGAGAACACUCGUGGCGAAGGCGGCCAGCUAGACCAGUUCUGACACUGAGGCGCGAUAGCGUGGGGAGCAAACAGG
Molecule: ribosomal RNA, 253 nt
Filed under: uncultured bacterium
Lineage: Bacteria
Description: partial 16S ribosomal RNA
Rfam family: Bacterial small subunit ribosomal RNA
Source: RNAcentral